GAGUUUGAUCAUGGCUCAGGAUGAACGCCGGCGGUGUGCCUAAUACAUGCAAGUCGUACGCACUGGCCCAACUGAUUGAUGGUGCUUGCACCUGAUUGACGAUGGAUCACCAGUGAGUGGCGGACGGGUGAGUAACACGUAGGUAACCUGCCCGGAGCGGGGAUAACAUUUGGAAACAGAUGCUAAUACCGCAUAACAACAAAGGCCACAUGGCUUCUGUUUGAAAGAUGGCUUUGGCCAUCACUCUGGGAUGGACCUGCGGUGCAUUAGCUAGUUGGUAAGGUAACGGCUUACCAAGGCGAUGAUGCAUAGCCGAGUUGAGAGACUGAUCGGCCACAAUGGAACUGAGACACGGUCCAUACUCCUACGGGAGGCAGCAGUAGGGAAUCUUCCACAAUGGGCGCAAGCCUGAUGGAGCAACACCGCGUGAGUGAAGAAGGGUUUCGGCUCGUAAAGCUCUGUUGUUGGAGAAGAACGUG
RNAcentral lists this ribosomal RNA (479 nucleotides) under uncultured microorganism. Its description in RNAcentral is "bacterial SSU rRNA". It matches the Rfam family "Bacterial small subunit ribosomal RNA", at positions 9 to 453 of the family's 1533-position model. The record is from RNAcentral.